Stegodyphus dumicola is the source of this 438-nucleotide long non-coding RNA. NCBI's taxonomy places the organism in Eukaryota, Metazoa, Arthropoda, Arachnida, Araneae, Eresidae. The record is from RefSeq and is a predicted model, not a curated record.
GACGCAAUGAUCAAAGUCUGAUACAGUAUAUGGCCCUUCAUUAUUACAAGCGUUUUCGUUUGAAGCAAUUUCAAUAUCCGGGCGAAAAAAUUUACCAGUUCCUACAAGAUAUUAAAACUGUAUAUCCUGGCUAUGGAAAAAAUGGUUUAGAGUUGAAAUUUAUAAAUGAGCCAACAGUACAAAGUGAGGAUAUUGAAGAUUUAAUGCCACCGAAAAAAGCUGCCCGUCAAGAUGAUGAAAUGCAGUUUAUUGAAGAUGGUGAUGAUAUGUGGGAGUAUGGAAAUUAAAAAUCCUGCAGCCCUUUCAUAAAUAAAUACAGCAGAAUUACAGGUUCGAAAAUGUAAUUUAUUUCCUAAGUAUUUUUGAUGCUGAAGCCAGUCAGUUUUUAAGAAUGUUAAGUAUGACUCUGAGUGUGUGACCUGAUAUGAGGAGGAUAGU